This 446-nucleotide long non-coding RNA is filed under the name Glycine max (soybean). RNAcentral describes it as "long non-coding RNA (GMAX_LNC000709)". Lineage: Eukaryota; Viridiplantae; Streptophyta; Magnoliopsida; Fabales; Fabaceae. The record is from RNAcentral.
CAUAACCUGGCGGUGAGCUUCGUGAUCCCCACUGACGGCCCACCUUCAAAAGCCCAAAAGGCAGUUCUGGAGGCCCUUCCGGACUCAAUUUCCCACACCUUCCUCCCUCCGGUCAAUCUCUCCGACUUCCCGCCGGACACCAAAAUCGAAACCCUGAUCUCCCACACCGUCCUCCGCUCCCUUCCUUCCCUCCGCCAAGCAUUCCACUCCCUCUCCGCCACAAACACCCUCUCCGCCGUCGUCGUAGACCUCUUCUCCACCGACGCCUUCGACGUCGCCGCCGAAUUCAAUGCCUCCCCCUACGUCUUCUAUCCCUCCACUGCCACCGUCCUCUCCUUGUUCUUCCACCUCCCCACCCUCGACCAGCAGGUCCAGUGCGAGUUCCGAGACCUCCCAGAACCGGUCAGCAUCCCCGGUUGCAUUCCUCUUCCCGGCAAGGACCUGUU